Medicago truncatula (barrel medic) is the source of this 83-nucleotide small nucleolar RNA. It matches the Rfam family "Small nucleolar RNA Z159/U59". From Rfam's summary of the family: This family consists of several snoRNA Z159 or U59 sequences which are members of the C/D class of snoRNA which contain the C (UGAUGA) and D (CUGA) box motifs. NCBI's taxonomy places the organism in Eukaryota, Viridiplantae, Streptophyta, Magnoliopsida, Fabales, Fabaceae. The record is from Rfam.
GCCUCUGAGGAUGAUCAAAUUAUAACUUUCGUUCUUCUGAGUUUAACAUGCGGAAAUUUCAUGGAGACCUGAACUGAAGAGGC